GGAGCGAUACCCAAGUGGUUGAAGGGGACGGUUUGCUAAACCGUUAGAUCGGGUGUACCGGUGCCAGGGUUCAAAGCCCUGUCGCUCCGCCA
This 92-nucleotide transfer RNA is filed under the name Erysipelotrichaceae bacterium. RNAcentral describes it as "tRNA-Ser". It matches the Rfam family "tRNA". Rfam says of the family: Transfer RNA (tRNA) molecules are approximately 80 nucleotides in length. Their secondary structure includes four short double-helical elements and three loops (D, anti-codon, and T loops). Further hydrogen bonds mediate the characteristic L-shaped molecular structure. tRNAs have two regions of fundamental functional importance: the anti-codon, which is responsible for specific mRNA codon recognition, and the 3' end, to which the tRNAs corresponding amino acid is attached (by aminoacyl-tRNA synthetases). tRNAs cope with the degeneracy of the genetic code in two manners: having more than one tRNA (with a specific anti-codon) for a particular amino acid; and 'wobble' base-pairing, i.e. permitting non-standard base-pairing at the 3rd anti-codon position. The record is from RNAcentral. Lineage: Bacteria; Bacillati; Bacillota; Erysipelotrichia; Erysipelotrichales; Erysipelotrichaceae.